This 264-nucleotide small RNA is filed under the name Meriones unguiculatus (Mongolian gerbil). RNAcentral's name for it is "7SK RNA (ENSMUGG00000003178.1)". It matches the Rfam family "7SK RNA", at positions 9 to 296 of the family's 331-position model. Rfam says of the family: 7SK was discovered as an abundant small nuclear RNA in the mid-70s but a possible function has only recently been suggested. Two independent studies have found that 7SK RNA binds the CDK9/cyclin T complex (known as elongation factor P-TEFb). The record is from RNAcentral. Lineage: Eukaryota; Metazoa; Chordata; Mammalia; Rodentia; Muridae.
GUAUCCCAGCUGUAGCCCCUUCCUGUCACCCCAUGAAUCACCAGGGAUGAUUCAGCUGAUAUGGCUGGCUAGGCUGGUGUCUCCUUCCUCCCUCACUGCUCCAUGUACUUCUCUCUGGAACCUGGGCACUUGGUCCAAGAGGAUGACCUUCGCCGAAUAGAGGAGGACCUGUCUUUGGUCAAGGGUAUAUGAGUAGCUGCGCUCCCCUUCUAGAACCUCCAAACAAGCUCUAGGUCCAAUCUCAUUCUUAUGCACCCUCUUUUG